Mesocricetus auratus (golden hamster) is the source of this 2831-nucleotide long non-coding RNA. RefSeq lists it as uncharacterized. Lineage: Eukaryota; Metazoa; Chordata; Mammalia; Rodentia; Cricetidae. The transcript has 5 exons. The record is from RefSeq and is a predicted model, not a curated record.
GGCACAUAGAUGGGGAUGCUGCUGGUGUCAUAGCGUAUUUGUUUCUCCAUAUCCCAAGAAGGAGGCAGAACACAUGCUGCAGAGGUCCCAGGCCUGAGCAGACCACCACAGGCCACUGGGAGAGGCUAAGAAUCAGAACUUACCUUGGCAAGGAAGUACCAAAAUUUAGGUAUUGCAAACUUCCCUGAGAAGACAGACUCCACCAUGAAGGCGAUCAGACAGUACAAGAGUGAGUCCCACAGGAGCAGCAGCAGCACCUGAGCGAAGCUAAAGUCUCCUUGGACACUCCCUAUGUUCCUCCACUGGAUGCCCGUGCCUUUUGCUUUGCUGUGUACAUCUCUCAUGAAGGGCUGGACACCCAGAAGUCCAACAUAAGGAGGCUACCUAUUCUUCAACUAGAAACUACAGAUAUGUAAAUCAAAGUAAGUCUUUCUCUUUACAAGUUAUUUAUUUCUAGACAAAUUUUUAAAAGAGGGGACACCAAAAGCAAUGAGACUAAUAUAUGUGGAAACUACAUUACCAGUAAUGUUCACUAUUUUCUGAGCUUCUAAUCAUAAAGUUAUAUAUUUCAUAUCUAUAGAAUUAAAUAAGCAUAUACUUUCUAAUCAUUUUUUUUCAAACAGAGUCACUCUGUUGCCCAAGCUGUCUGGAUGGAAUUCCUGGGCUCCAGUAACCUUCCUGCUUCAGUCUUCCAAGUAGCUGGGACUAUAGGCCCAUGCCAACCUGUUUGGCUCCAAUUUUCUAUGCUUUAGUUUCCCUUCCCAUAUCCAUAUCUAUGCUGUAAGCUUUUUGUUUGUUUGUUUUUGUUUUUUGAGGCAGGGUUUCUCUGUGUAAACCUGACUGUCCUGGAACUUGGCCUCCAAGAGAUCUGCCUCCCAAGUGUUGGGAUUAAAGAAUGUGACACCACCACCCAGCUUAUGCUGUAAGAGAGAUGAAUCGGACUCCUAUUGCCAUGGCAACAUUUGAGAAGAGGCAAAAGGCUAUCUUUUGGACAUAGGUCCUCUGGUGGUAACUGAAAGUGAUGUACAGGUAGGGGAGGAACAACAAAAUAGAGACCAUUACAGAAGAACAAGUGAUCAUGUAAUGCCAGCCCCAACUGAUACAUCUACAACACAGCACUGAAGCUCAAGAGUCAUAGUGGAAGAGGCGGUAAAAAUCUUAAGAUGCAAAGGACAAAGAAGUUUUCUGCGGUAUUGCAUCUUCUGAAAAUAUCCGAAAGCUAUACUCAAGAAAUCUCGCCAGCAUCUCUACCUAAACAAGACCUGAACAAAGAUGACCCGAUAGACAUAUUAACAUGGAAGCAGGAAAUCUUAUGGGACCCCAACCCUAAAAAAUGAAUUACAUGCAAGUAAGGAAUACUGGAGUGGGAGAAAUAUUUUUCCCCAGGGAAGAGCUCUCCAGUUCUUUAUUGAAUACCAAGUGAUUAGCCUUGAAAUCGUACACAUACAAGUAACAUUAUACUGAUUGAUCAGGUUGUAUUUAUAUAUUUAGGAAUACAUGUAUAUGUAACAACAGUUAAAAGCGGGAUCAUAAAUUUGAGAGAGCAAGAAAAGGAAAAAUGAUGUUAUAAUUAUAAUUUCAGAAAAAAAGAGCACCAAGUGCUCUUAACUGCUGAACCAGCUCUUCAACCACUCCCCCUUUUAAAAAAGACUUUAAAAAUGUGUGUCUCUGUGUGCUUCUAUGCACCACAUUGUACAGGUGUCUGCAGAACAUAGAAGAUCCCUGGGAACUAGAGUUAAACCUGGGUCUUUAGCCAGAACACUGAGUGCUCUUAACUCAUUGAGCCAUAUCUCCAGCCUCCUGGUCUAUAUAGUCUUACUGUGAUGUCUUUUAUGAGUUUGGUGUGAGAUAGGAUUUUUUUUUAGUUGCAUGGGUUAUUUUAUUUAUUCUGGAUACAUGUCUUUUAUAUUAUUCAUAAUUUCUAAAAUGUUUCCCCAAGGAUAUAGAUUAUCUUUUUACUUUAUUCUUCCCUACAUAUUUGCUAUGUUGUACUCAUUGGUCUGGUUUUUUGUAACAAAGAUUGGUCUUGAAUUCAGAGCAAUUGUCUUGUCUCAGCAGCCCAGGUACUGGAGUUGCAGACAUGAGCCAACACUUUUUGUUGUUGAUAGUGAUGCAUGGUCUCUCUAUCAUGUAGCUCUGGCUAUUCUGGAACUUACUAUGAUGUAGACCAGGCUGUUCUUGAACUCACGGAGAUCCUCCUGCCUCAGCCUCCUGAGUACUAGGAUUGAAGGUGUGCACUACCACCACCCGGCCUAACUUUCAAAGUUUUAACCUUAGCUCUUUUUUUUUUUUUGAGACAGUGUUUCUCUGCAUAGCCCUGGCUGUCCUGGAACUCGCUCUGUAGACCAGGCUGCACCUGAACUCACAGAGAUCCACCUGCCUCUGCCUCCUGAGUGCUGGGUUAAAGGUAUGCACCGCCACCACCCAGCACCUUGAGCACUCUUAAACCUCAAUUGUAGACAUCCUUCCAUGCUCAUACUCUUUCUAAAUUCCCUAACUUGACUAGUGCCCCUUUAUGCUUGCUAUGAAACUAUGGAGGGGAAGUGGAAUUCAAAGUUUGAAUCCUCCUCCAUCUUGGCAAAGUCAGUAUUUUUCCAGGAAUCACAUAUUACAGCGUGCUAUUUGAUAUAAAAACAUUCGUAAAUAUGAAUAAUACAUUUCUCUUUCCUGGUUCUUGUAAACACUGUCUUUUGGGGCAACUGCUGAGCUCAUUUUUCUCUUAAUGAAGUGAGGGUAACUAACUCACUUCAAUUCUCCUAUCAUUUCUAUCUUCUAUGAUUCAUCAAGUCAUGUAUAAAUAUUUCAGAUGUAAGACCUCCAACAGGACCAAA